GGCCGCGGGAAUUCGAUUCAGGCUUUUCUCACCCCCGUCGAGCGGUAGAGAGAAGCUUGCUUCUCUUGAGAAAGGCGGACGGGUGAGUAAUGCCUAGGAAUCUGCCUGGUAGUGGGGGAUAACGUUCGGAAACGGACGCUAAUACCGCAUACGUCCUACGGGAGAAAGCAGGGGACCUUCGGGCCUUGCGCUAUCAGAUGAGCCUAGGUCGGAUUAGCUAGUUGGUGAGGUAAUGGCUCACCAAGUUUUU
RNAcentral lists this ribosomal RNA (250 nucleotides) under uncultured bacterium. Its description in RNAcentral is "partial 16S ribosomal RNA". It matches the Rfam family "Bacterial small subunit ribosomal RNA", at positions 43 to 277 of the family's 1533-position model. The record is from RNAcentral.